This 347-nucleotide ribosomal RNA is filed under the name uncultured bacterium. RNAcentral's name for it is "bacterial SSU rRNA". It matches the Rfam family "Bacterial small subunit ribosomal RNA", at positions 8 to 334 of the family's 1533-position model. The record is from RNAcentral.
AGGGUUUGAUUAUGGCUCAGGAUGAACGCUGGCGGCGUGCUUAACACAUGCAAGUCGAACGAAGCUGCUUAACUGAUCUUCUUCGGAAUUGACGUUUUGUAGACUGAGUGGCGGACGGGUGAGUAACGCGUGAGGAACCUGCCUCGGAGUGGGGAAUAACACAACGAAAGCUGUGCUAAUACCGCAUGAUACAGUUGGGUCGCAUGACUCUGACUGUCAAAGAUUUAUCGCUCUGAGAUGGCCUCGCGUCUGAUUAGCUAGUUGGUGGGGUAACGGCCCACCAAGGCGACGAUCAGUAGCCGGACUGAGAGGUUGACCGGCCACAUUGGGACUGAGACACGGCCCAG